UACAGAGGUCCCAAGCGUUGUUCGGAUUCACUGGGCGUAAAGGGUGUGUAGGUGGUGAGGUAAGUCCGAUGUGAAAGCUCCGAGCUCAACUCGGAAAUUGCAUUAGAAACUACCUUGCUAGAGGGUUGGAGGGGGGACUGGAAUUCUCGGUGUAGCAGUGAAAUGCGUAGAUAUCGAGAGGAACACCAGUGGCGAAGGCGAGUCCCUGGACAACUCCUGACACUGAGGCACGAAAGCUAGGGGAGCAAACAGG
This 253-nucleotide ribosomal RNA is filed under the name uncultured bacterium. RNAcentral's name for it is "partial 16S ribosomal RNA". It matches the Rfam family "Bacterial small subunit ribosomal RNA", at positions 524 to 776 of the family's 1533-position model. The record is from RNAcentral.